GACGAACGCUGGCGGCGUGCUUAACACAUGCAAGUCGAACGGAAAGGCCCUGCUUUUGUGGGGUGCUCGAGUGGCGAACGGGUGAGUAACACGUGAGUAACCUGCCCUUGACUUUGGGAUAACUUUAGGAAACUGGGGCUAAUACCGGAUAGGAGCUCCUGCUGCAUGGUGGGGGUUGGAAAGUUUCGGCGGUUGGGGAUGGACUCGCGGCUUAUCAGCUUGUUGGUGGGGUAGUGGCUUACCAAGGCUUUGACGGGUAGCCGGCCUGAGAGGGUGACCGGCCAAAUUGGGACUGAGAUACGGCCCAGACUCCUACGGGAGGCAGCAGUGGGGAAUAUUGCACAAUGGGCGGAAGCCUGAUGCAGCAACGCCGCGUGCGGGAUGACGGCCUUCGGGUUGUAAACCGCUUUCGCCUGUGACGAAGCGUGAGUGACGGUAAUGGGUAAAGAAGCACCGGCUAACUACGUG
RNAcentral lists this ribosomal RNA (468 nucleotides) under uncultured bacterium. RNAcentral describes it as "partial 16S ribosomal RNA". It matches the Rfam family "Bacterial small subunit ribosomal RNA", at positions 28 to 507 of the family's 1533-position model. The record is from RNAcentral.